This 214-nucleotide ribosomal RNA is filed under the name uncultured bacterium. RNAcentral describes it as "partial 16S ribosomal RNA". It matches the Rfam family "Bacterial small subunit ribosomal RNA", at positions 524 to 737 of the family's 1533-position model. The record is from RNAcentral.
GACAGAGGGUGCAAACGUUGCUCGGAAUCACUGGGCGUAAAGGGCGCGUAGGCGGGAAUGUAAGUCGGGCGUGAAAUCCCUAGGCUCAACCUAGGAACUGCACUCGAAACUGCGUUUCUUGAGUAUCGGAGAGGAAAGCGGAAUUCCUGGUGUAGAGGUGAAAUUCGUAGAUAUCAGGAGGAACACCAGUGGCGAAGGCGGCUUACUGGACGAC